Wasmannia auropunctata (little fire ant) is the source of this 401-nucleotide long non-coding RNA. RefSeq lists it as uncharacterized. The record is from RefSeq and is a predicted model, not a curated record. Lineage: Eukaryota; Metazoa; Arthropoda; Insecta; Hymenoptera; Formicidae. The transcript is spliced from 4 exons.
AUUGACUGCAGAACAUUUCUUGGCAAAUUCUUAAAAAUUGCUACAUUUUCAAUCAAUCGUCGACAAGACUGAAGCGCAAUCUCUUCACUUAAAUCCGACAAAAUCCGUUUACUUCGAAACUUUGAUAUGAAGGAACAUAACUGCAGAAAGACACAACCACAUGUUUGACAUCCAAAAGAAAUGCCUGACAAUGCAUGACUUUCGAUAUAAAGAUGUUUAUUAUUCAAUAUCUUACUCAACAUAUAACAAACGAUGAAUCUGCCGAUAAUCAUAAGAAUGCUAUUGAAAAGGAUGGGGCCAUCCGUCUCCGGUAUAAAAAUAGGUAUGGAAAUGAGAUUCGCAUAAAGAUCAGUACGUCAGUAAGAUCAAGCAUAUGCUUACUGUUGGUGGAAUGUUGACAA